GGGUCAUUAGGUUGGUCGUGCCACCGGUACGUACUGGUCUCACUGAUUCCUCCUUCCUGAAGAACCGUAAUGCCAUUAAUUUGGUGUUGCGGGGAAACAGGACUGUUACUUUGAAAAAAUUAGAGUAUUUAAAGCAAGCUAACGCUUGAAUACAUUAGCAUGGAAUAAUGAAAUAGGACGAUCGAUCCUAUUUUGUUGGUUUCUAGGAUUGACGUA
RNAcentral lists this ribosomal RNA (216 nucleotides) under Glomeromycotina sp. RNAcentral describes it as "partial small subunit ribosomal RNA". The stretch from base 40 to 216 matches the Rfam family "Eukaryotic small subunit ribosomal RNA", at positions 686 to 864 of the family's 1831-position model. Lineage: Eukaryota; Fungi; Glomeromycota. The record is from RNAcentral.